CGACUAGUACACAUCGCAGUUUUCGCAGUACGUCUCCUCCUGGGGAUACUCUCCCACCCGUGACGACAAUAUAAUCGGACCGAUUGACAGGUAAUGGUUCAGUCUUGCUUCGACUUUCGACUAGUACACAUCGCAGUUUUCGCAGUACGUCUCCUCCUGGGGAUACUCUCCCACCCGUGACGACAAUAUAAUCGGACCGAUUGACAGGUAAUGGUUCAGUCUUGCUUCGACUUUCGACUAGUACACAUCGCAGUUUUCGCAGUACGUCUCCUCCUGGGGAUACUCUCCCACCCGUGACGACAAUAUAAUCGGACCGAUUGACAGGUAAUGGUUCAGUCUUGCUUCGAAUUUCGACUAGUACACAUCGCAGUUUUCGCAGUACGUGUCCUCCGUAAGUAAUAACAAAGAGUCAAUGUAAAUAUAUUAUUCUAUCACUCAUUCUUUCAAUAUCCUAUGCUAAUUAUUUUAUUUUAAA
Molecule: long non-coding RNA, 475 nt
Organism: Vespula vulgaris
Lineage: Eukaryota; Metazoa; Arthropoda; Insecta; Hymenoptera; Vespidae
Exons: 4
Source: RefSeq, a predicted model, not a curated record